GAAGGAUCAUUACUGAGAAUGGGCAACUAUUUUAAGUUUUUUAUAUCCCAUUGUUUACUUACCCUGUUGCUUUCACUGGACAGAUUUCACCUUGUGUGGGUCCUUUGGCUUGUGUGAAAUACCACUUGCCAAAGAGUUGCCAGUGGUAAGACCUAUUUAUCAAAACUUGAGUUUCAAUAAACACAACUGUCUGAAUAUUUUUUUUCUUUAAUGAAAUAAAACUUUCAACAACGGAUCUCUAGGCUCUUGCAUCGAUGAAGAACGCAGUGAAAUGCGAUAAGUAAUGUGAAUUGCAGAAUCUCGUGAAUCAUUGAAUCUUUGAACGCACAUUGCGCCCUAUGGUAUUCCAUUGGGCAUGCCUGUCUGAGCGUCAGCUCCCCCUCCACUCAAGAAUUAUUUUAUAUAAUACUUGGAUUACUUUGGAGAUGUAACUGUAUAUUAAGUUGCCCUCCUUAAAUUCAUUGGCUGGUAUGGUUUGUACUUGGACCAGACGUAAUAGUAAUAAAAUCGUUUGUUUGGGCCCUUGUAAUUGAAUUGUACUUGCCUUAACCCCCACCCAUUUUUAUUUUGGGUGACCUCAGUUCCAUGCCUUUCCGGGAUACCCGCUGAACUUAAGCAUAUCA
Molecule: ribosomal RNA, 623 nt
Filed under: Terfezia boudieri
Lineage: Eukaryota; Fungi; Ascomycota; Pezizomycetes; Pezizales; Pezizaceae
Description: eukaryotic LSU rRNA
Rfam family: 5.8S ribosomal RNA (bases 220-373)
Source: RNAcentral